CUGAACUGCAAACUAGGAUCUCGUUAGAGGGGGUAGAAUUUCAGGUGUAGCGGUGGAAUGCGGUGAGAUCGAAGGAAUGCCGGGGCGAAGGCGGCCCCUGGACAAGACUGACGCUCAGGUACGAAAGCGUGGGGAGCAAACAGGAUUAGAUACCCUGUAGUCCACGCCGUAAACGAUGUCUACUCGGAGUUUGGUGUCUUGAACACUGGGCUCUCAAGCUAACGCAUUAAGUAGACCGCCUGGGGAGUACGGCCGCAAGGUUAAAACUCAAAUGAAUUGACGGGGGCCCGCACAAGCGGUGGAGCAUGUGGUUUAAUUCGAUGCAACGCGAAGAACCUUACCUACUCUUGACAUCCUCAGAACUUUCCAGAGAUGGAUUGGUGCCUUCGGGAACUGAGAGACAGGUGCUGCAUGGCUGUCGUCAGCUCGUGUUGUGAAAUGUUGGGUUAAGUCGCAGCUACACAUGCAGUCGAGCGGUACACAAGGGAGCUUGCUCCUUAUUUGCCGAGCGGCGUACUGGUGGGUAACUGCUUAGGUAGUCUGCCCGGUCGAUAAACCGGGGGAUAACAGUUGGGGACGACUGCUCAAGUACCUCAUAGGCCCUUACGGGGGAAAGUAGGGCUACACUUCGUGCCUUCCGCGAUUGGAUCGAGUACAUAGGGUUGGGAUUAGCCUCGUUGGUGGAGGUAAUGGCUCACCAAGGCGACGAUCCGUAGUCUGGAUCUGAGAGUCUGCAACUCGAGCUCACACUGGAAGUCGAGACAUCGGUCCAGUACUCGUACGGGAGUCAGCAUGCUACGGUGAAUACGUUGCACCAUGGGCCUUGUACACACCGCCUGAUGCACGCCAUGCGGCGUGUGCUGCACCAGAAGGCCUUCGGGUUGCUUAAGCACUUUCGGCGAGGAGCGUUACCACGGUGUGUUGCGCUAAUAUCCAGUAACUGUGACGUUACUCCCCAAAAAAAACACCGGCUUACUUCUUUGCCCCAGCCCCCGGGAAUACCAAGGGGGGGGAGCGUUUAUCCGAAAUUACUUGGGCGUAAAACGGACCCCGGCCGGGUUGUGUAAACCAGAAGUGAAAAACCCCCGGCUCCCCCUGGGGAACUGGCAUCUUCCAACUGGGGAAAUAAAAGCGUUGUUGAAGGGGGGGACAAAUUUUUUGUGGCAGCCGUGCACUAGGGAAAAAUUUUUUUUGGAGGGGGGACCUGGCGGGGGGAGGUCCCCCCGUGUGGCCCCCCCGCUUUCUCUACAAGAAAGGGGUGUUUUUACAAGGGGGAGACCUUCCCCCGCGGGCUCUCCUCAGAUACACAGACAAAUUGAGGGGUGGGGGGGGGAGUUGCUCCCCCCCCCUCCCAGAACACUAUUUAGCCCGCCGCGAGGGGGGGUCGCGGGGGAGAGUGCGGGAUUUUUUAUUUUUCUUCU
Molecule: ribosomal RNA, 1421 nt
Filed under: gamma proteobacterium LS7
Lineage: Bacteria; Pseudomonadati; Pseudomonadota; Gammaproteobacteria
Description: bacterial SSU rRNA
Rfam family: Bacterial small subunit ribosomal RNA (bases 1-896)
Source: RNAcentral